AUGAAUCGCUGCCCCUACGGGAUCGAAGACACUGGAUGUAUUAGAUUUUCCAUGAGGGCCAUCUGGAAAUGCUCAGGACAAAUUCUGAACGUAAAACUCACAUUGUAUGAUGGAUUGUGACUGCACCUGUCCAACUUUGUAACUUGAUUUCUGAAAAUAUGAUUGGAUCCAGAAAUGGAUGAGAGAUUGCCUUGAAGAUUAAGUGAUUUAAUCACAGGUAUUUACAUUUUAUCUCUUACUAUAUCUUUUUGUUAUAGGUGAAAUUAUGUUUCAUAUUCUUGGACAAAAUUUACAAAUUUUUAGGAUGAAAACUUGUAAAACUAGAGUUCUUUGGAUGAUUUAUGAAAAUUUGAUUUGUAUUAUUACAUACAUAUUUUAAUUCAUAUGUGGUCCAGGCUCAAAACACUGGGCUGAAACAAUCUUCCUGCCUCAGUCUCCCAAGGUUGUUUGAAUAACAGGCAUGUACCUCAGUACCCAGCUAAAAUUCUUUAUUGAUUUUUCACCUUGCUAU
This 511-nucleotide long non-coding RNA is filed under the name Macaca mulatta (Rhesus monkey). RNAcentral describes it as "lncRNA (ENSMMUG00000052356.1)". The record is from RNAcentral. Lineage: Eukaryota; Metazoa; Chordata; Mammalia; Primates; Cercopithecidae.